RNAcentral lists this ribosomal RNA (708 nucleotides) under Triticum aestivum (bread wheat). RNAcentral's name for it is "partial small subunit ribosomal RNA". The record is from RNAcentral. Lineage: Eukaryota; Viridiplantae; Streptophyta; Magnoliopsida; Poales; Poaceae.
AUGCAUGAAGCUAGGGGGUUAUUCUGCAAAACUGCAAUCUCUGGAAUAUUAGACAAAAUCGCAGGACGAGAAAAAAAACAUGAUCGGGCUGAAACUGGGCAAGCCCAACAGAGAAAAAAAAAUAGAGGAGGGGGCGCUGGGGGUCAGCUCACCCUGGGCCUUGGCCCAUCUGCAGAGAGAGGCCGGCGGAUCUGGCUAAGGAAGCUGGGGAGGAGGCCGAGCGAGGCUGGACCGCGGGGAGAACGAUUGGGCCGGCCCACGUGGGCGCGGUCAACGGAGGGAGCUGGGCUGGACGCGGAGGCGCGCGCGAGCUGGGCCUGGGCGCGGUCGGCGUUCGUCUCUGGAUCGAUGCCGAAGCAGAGGAGGUCGAGCGGUCAACGGGUACGGCGAGGCCCUCGUCUCCUCGUUCGAUGCCAGGUGAAGCAGAGGGCGGAACGGCAUCCUGCUUGUUCGUUCGCGGUGUGGCCCUCGCCGGGAAGAAGCAGGACGGCGGGGACCCGAGGUGGAGCAGCCGGCGUGAUGCGGAUCCAUGUGCAGAAGAGGGAACGAGGCGCUCGACUGCUGCUGCUGCUUGCGACACAGCGUCCACGGCUGCUCCUGAUUCGGUGCUCCGACGAGAAAGGGGGUCGCCGAGGAGGCUGUUCCUUCGCGGAUCCGAAGGGUGGCGAUGAGGACGAACGGCGGCCAUGGCAGCUCGGUUCCCUGUGA